This 340-nucleotide ribosomal RNA is filed under the name Ectrepesthoneura hirta. RNAcentral describes it as "partial 16S ribosomal RNA". The record is from RNAcentral. Lineage: Eukaryota; Metazoa; Arthropoda; Insecta; Diptera; Mycetophilidae.
UUUUUUAAUUGAAAACUUGUAUGAAGGGUUUGACGAAAUAUUAACUGUUUCAUAAAAAUUUAUAUAGAAAUUAAUUUUUUAGUUAAAAAGCUAAAAUAAGUUUAAGGGACGAGAAGACCCUAUAGAGUUUAAUAUUUAUUUAAUUUUAAUUUAUUUAUAAUUAUAAAAAUUUAAUUUAAUAAAAUAUUUUGUUGGGGUGACAGUAAAAAUUUUUAUCUUUUAUUAUUAUUUAUCAAUGAUUUUUGAAUUAUUGAUCCAUUUUUAUUGAUUAAAAGAUUAAAUUACCUUAGGGAUAACAGCGUAAUUUUUUUGUAGAGUUCUUAUUAAUAAAAAAUUUUGC